AGUGAACGCUGGCGGUAGGCCUAACACAUGCAAGUCGAACGGCAGCACAGUAAGAGCUUGCUCUUACGGGUGGCGAGUGGCGGACGGGUGAGGAAUACAUCGGAAUCUACUUUUUCGUGGGGGAUAACGUAGGGAAACUUACGCUAAUACCGCAUACGACCUACGGGUGAAAGCAGGGGAUCUUCGGACCUUGCGCGAUUGAAUGAGCCGAUGUCGGAUUAGCUAGUUGGCGGGGCAAAGGCCCACCAAGGCGACGAUCCGUAGCUGGUCUGAGAGGAUGGUCAGCCACCCUGGAACUGAGACACGGUCCCGACUCCUACGGGGGGAAGCAGUGGGGAAUAUUGGACAAUGGGGGCAAGCCUGAUCCAGCCAUACCGCGUGGGUGAAGAAGGCCUUCGGGUUGUAAAGCCCUUUUGUUGGGAAAGAAAAGCAGCAGGUUAAUACCCCGCUGUUCUGACGGUACCCAAAGAAUAAGCACCGGCUAACUUCGUG
This 492-nucleotide ribosomal RNA is filed under the name uncultured bacterium. Its description in RNAcentral is "partial 16S ribosomal RNA". It matches the Rfam family "Bacterial small subunit ribosomal RNA", at positions 29 to 507 of the family's 1533-position model. The record is from RNAcentral.